UUCCGCCUGGGGAGUACAACCGCAAGGUUGAAACUUAAAGGAAUUGACGGGGAUCUAAACAAGCGGUGGAACAUGUGGUUUAAUCCGAUACUACGCGUAAAAUCUUACCAGUUUUUGUAUAAUAUACAGGUGUUGCAUGGCUGUCGUCAGUUCGUGCUGUGAAACGUUUGGUUCAGUCCUUUUAACGAACGUAACCCCUAUUUUUUGUUACUCAAUUGAAUUAACAAGUGGUUCAAUUAGGACUCUUAAAAAUUGCUUAUGAUAUAUAAGAUGAAAGUGGGGAUGACGUCAAGUCGUCAUGGCCCUUAUAAACUGGGCUACACACGUGUUACAAUAGUUAUCACAGUAAGAAGCAAAAACGUGAGUUGGAGCAAAUCUUGAAAAGUAACUUAAGUUCGAAUUGUUCUCUGUAACUCGAGAGCAUGAAGUUGAAAUCGCUAGUAAUCACAAAUUAGUACGUUGUGGUGAUAUGUUCUUAGAUCUUGUACACACCGCCCG
This 498-nucleotide ribosomal RNA is filed under the name uncultured bacterium. RNAcentral's name for it is "bacterial SSU rRNA". It matches the Rfam family "Bacterial small subunit ribosomal RNA", at positions 867 to 1396 of the family's 1533-position model. The record is from RNAcentral.